This 468-nucleotide ribosomal RNA is filed under the name uncultured bacterium. Its description in RNAcentral is "partial 16S ribosomal RNA". It matches the Rfam family "Bacterial small subunit ribosomal RNA", at positions 28 to 507 of the family's 1533-position model. The record is from RNAcentral.
GACGAACGCUGGCGGCGUGCUUAACACAUGCAAGUCGAACGGAAAGGCCCUGCUUUUGUGGGGUGCUCGAGUGGCGAGCGGGUGAGUAACACGUGAGUAACCUGCCCUUGACUUUGGGAUAACUUCAGGAAACUGGGGCUAAUACCGGAUAGGAGCUCCUGCUGCAUGGUGGGGGUUGGAAAGUUUCGGCGGUUGGGGCUGGACUCGCGGCUUAUCAGCUUGUUGGUGGGGUAGUGGCUUACCAAGGCUUUGACGGGUAGCCGGCCUGAGAGGGUGACCGGCCACAUUGGGACUGAGAUACGGCCCAGACUCCUACGGGAGGCAGCAGUGGGGAAUAUUGCACAAUGGGCGGAAGCCUGAUGCAGCAACGCCGCGUGCGGGAUGACGGCCUUCGGGUUGUAAACCGCUUUCGCCUGUGACGAAGCGUGAGUGACGGUAAUGGGUAAAGAAGCACCGGCUAACUACGUG